AAAAUAGGCUGCAAUCAAGUUCACUUCCAAAGGCGGAAUUCAUGGGUACAUAUGGUGUCCACGUGUGUACACCUGCAGAGUUGUAACAUGCGGGCAUUUCUCCCCUCAGCCCGCCAUUCUGGCUUCUUAACUUGCACCCUAACAGCUCGACAGAACCUUGGCGUCCACAAAAAGGACUUGAGGUGGGACAUGGAAGAACAGGGACCCCUCCUGGUUUGUCCACCCAGCCCACACCUCCAUUCCUCACCCAACCUACCACUUCAGAGCCGGGAAAAGACCUCAGAGAACAUCCGCUCCGACUCUACCGAGGCUCAGACAGGACAACAAGAGUGUGCUGGACACUGGGAAAUGUGGUCCAGGAGCAGUCACAGUCCCUAUAGACCUCCCACAAAUUACCGUAAUGCAAAGCAGUGAACACUUGGGAGAGCUCCUUCACUCACCGACUCUCAUCAGGAAAAUAGUGAUAGCAUGAACCCCUCCAGAUGGUUUUAGGAUUAAAAGAGAUACUUGUGCAAAGCCUCAGCAUACGAGUGCUCAGCCCCUGCCGACAUGAGCAAUGGGCAGCGCGUCCAGCUGGGUUCCUGCCCCAUGAGAAGCACACAGCCUGGUUUGGUAGGUGGGGCUCCAUCAGGGCUGUUUGGAUACCUGGGUGGAGCCCACAGACCAGCCCCCACCUUGUGUGGUUAGGGCUUUGCUAGGAAGGCCCAUCUGUGCGCCAUGACCUUGGAACUCGAUGUGAGAUCCCUGGACCGGCAGCAGCACCUGGAAGCUUGUUGGAAAUGCUGAUCUCAGGUGGGACUCCAGAAUUCCCGCAUCUGCACCUGCACUCCCAAAAUACCUCCCCACCAGGUGAUCCGAGGCCAUGGGGCGGUCUGAAGGGCACUGUGCUGGGGCGUCCCACCACUAGAAAUCCAGUCCGGUAAUCUGAAGAUGUAAGUGCCCCCAGGAGGAGUGACGGAGUGACACAAAUGACACAAGGGGAGGGGACUUGUCAGGUGUCCACUCCUGACUGCAAGUUCCCAGGGCAGAAGGCAAUGCCCCCACAGGGACUUUUCCAGACACUCCGAGUGCACCUGAAUUGCAUUUUGAGUGAUGCUGCCUGCUAAGCAGGAAGAGCCCUCCGGAGCCUCGAAAAGCAGAGUGGAAGUGGUGGUGCCCAGGACGCAUGGGCUCUGAUGGGAAGAGGGAGGUGGGCCUGAGCAUGGGCCUUCUUCUCCCCAGGUCAGAGGGGCCUGGAUGCCCCUGGAGGGAACACUGAGGUCACCUCUGGCCAAAUCUUCCUGUUCUGCCAGUACCCAGCCCUGUUCAGUGACGUCAAGCUUUUGGGUCCCUGUCCUGGGGCCCUCCACGCUGGCCGGGCUGUGUAGAGACGCCCUUCUCUCCACUUUAUUGGGUCCAGAUUGUUGUGUGGCUUCUCCCCUCCUCUGCAGCCUGGGGUCUGAAAACAGCGAUGCCAACAGACAGACAGAUUUCCAAAAGAAAGGUCCGGCUCAGCCAAGGACAAAGGGGCCUCGCAGAGGCUCCUGGGGGUCAGAAAGCUGAGAGUCUACCAGGCAGGUGCCUUCUCCACCCACAGGCACAAGCUACAACAGCUUUCCAAGAAGUGCAUCCACAUCGUCCCCAGGUCCAGAUGCCCACAUUGCCCUGCAGGGACCAAGACCACACUCGGGCUGCUUGGACAGGAUGUAGCUGGUCACUGUUCUGGAGCUGGCCCCUCUGUAGCCUGUGACAAUCAGCUUGAGUCUCUCUGCCAAGUCUCCGCCUUCUGUUCUUCUUGCCGACCUUGAAGCAGAGUUGACGUUUCAGGUUUUUCCAGCAGACAAAGCUCACUCAAUCUGAUACUGUGGAGGUUGUUAAUUUAACAACCAACCCAUCCUCAUGUUGAGAAACCAGCUCCAAAUGCUCACCUGGCUGUCAGGGAUGGGGAGCCUCAUGGGUGAAAGAGGGUUGUGAUGGCAUAAUUUAAACCAAAAGAGGCAUUCGCGGUUGCCCGUGUUGCCUCAGGCCUGCUGGCCUCCUGCUGUGAACAUUUUGGGCAAUACUGUCUCUGCCAGUGACCCCCAAUUGUCCACUUGUCUCCAGCAAGAUCGAACCAUGUAAGUGCCAUUUCUGACAAGUUGGGUGAACGUUGGUUUCAAAUCAUCAGCUCUGCAUUCAAGUGCCCUGCUACAAUUCUGGCUCACUCUGUGGGAAUAACUGCCUGCCUGGGCACGUUGCUGUUGCUGCCUCCCAAACGGCAGUUUCUGGGGUCCCAGGUCAUCCAGGCUGGAUGUGGCUUGGGAGAGACCUGUGGCACCAGGUUGGAGGGAGGUCUCACCUCUCCUUUCUGAGCUGUGGACUGCAGCUUCAGGACCCUAUGGAUGAGGCCGAAUGUCAUGAAGAUAAUGGAAUUUGGAGUCUCAACAAAGCCAAGCCACAUGCCAGAGAUUCACCACCUGGGGCCCAGGAUCAGAAGUGUGCCCUUAGGAGGCCAAACAUCCACCUGUCUACCAACUAGACAUUUGGUCUCAGACAGCAAGAAAGGCUGCGUUUAUGUCAUUAGGGGGAACACCACGGUCUUCGGCAUGAGAGAGGUGUAAUUCUCAAGUUCAUCAGAGCUCGGCUUCCCCCAUGAGAGGAAACAAUUUGCCAGGUUGAAGAACACACGCUUUGAGGGUUCUCAGAGGCUGACACCUGUUGUGAAUCUUGGAAACUCAAGCCCCAGUGCAAACGGCCUUGAAGGAGGUCGAGCAUCAUGGUUCCAACAAGUGACUCGCUUUGAUAACCCGAUGUGUAAGCAGAAUCGCAAUGCAUCCGUCCUUCCCUAAUCAUCACGUGGCUGUCAUCUGGUCAAUGAACUGAGGCCCGAAGGCUUGAGUCAAACUGGUUUUCAAGGCUGUGCUCAUGGGAUUUAUAUGUUUCUUGAGCCCUGUUGGAGGCUCUUGGCAGGUCUGAACAUUAAACAUUUCUUUUCUUCCUUUUG
RNAcentral lists this long non-coding RNA (2962 nucleotides) under Homo sapiens (human). RNAcentral's name for it is "non-protein coding TMEM51-AS1:1". The record is from RNAcentral. Lineage: Eukaryota; Metazoa; Chordata; Mammalia; Primates; Hominidae.